CGGCACGUAACUUGGCAAAAUUCUUCGG
RNAcentral lists this small RNA (28 nucleotides) under Bombyx mori (domestic silkworm). RNAcentral describes it as "ovarian small RNA-14473". Lineage: Eukaryota; Metazoa; Arthropoda; Insecta; Lepidoptera; Bombycidae. The record is from RNAcentral.